UUACGACAAUAUCACGUUGAAACACCGGUACUUGUACGAUCACCGAAGUUAAGCAAUGUCGAGCCUACCCAGUACCUAGAUCAGUGACUGCUUGGGAAUAUCAUGUGCUGUAA
This is a non-coding RNA of Acanthosepion pharaonis, 113 nucleotides long. The record is from the annotation of a GenBank genome assembly. NCBI's taxonomy places the organism in Eukaryota, Metazoa, Mollusca, Cephalopoda, Sepiida, Sepiidae.